This 59-nucleotide transfer RNA is filed under the name Ascoschoengastia sp. TATW-1. Its description in RNAcentral is "tRNA-Ser". Lineage: Eukaryota; Metazoa; Arthropoda; Arachnida; Trombidiformes; Trombiculidae. The record is from RNAcentral.
GAAAGUUUAUAACAACAUGGCUUCUAACCAUUGUUCAAGCUAUUUAUUGCUAACUUUCU